RNAcentral lists this ribosomal RNA (235 nucleotides) under uncultured bacterium. Its description in RNAcentral is "partial 16S ribosomal RNA". It matches the Rfam family "Bacterial small subunit ribosomal RNA", at positions 118 to 353 of the family's 1533-position model. The record is from RNAcentral.
UGAGCAAUCUGCCCUUCUCUUCGGAAUAAGCGUGGGAAACCGCGUCUAAUGCCGAAUACGACCUCCUUUCGCAUGAUCGGAGGUGGAAAGCUCCGGCGGAGAAGGAUGAGCUCGCGGCCUAUCAGCUAGUUGGUGUGGGUAAUGGCCCACCAAGGCGACGACGGGUAGCCGGCCUGAGAGGGCGACCGGCCACACUGGGACUGAGACACGGCCCAGACUCCUACGGGAGGCAGCG